UACGAAGGGGGCUAGCGUUGCUCGGAAUUACUGGGCGUAAAGCGCACGUAGGCGGCUUGUUAAGUCGGGGGUGAAAUCCUGGAGCUCAACUCCAGAACUGCCUUCGAUACUGGCGAGCUCGAGUUCGGGAGAGGUGAGUGGAACUGCGAGUGUAGAGGUGAAAUUCGUAGAUAUUCGCAAGAACACCAGUGGCGAAGGCGGCGUUCUGGACUGCAACUGACACUGAGAGACGAAAGCCAGGGGAGCAAACGGG
This 253-nucleotide ribosomal RNA is filed under the name uncultured bacterium. RNAcentral describes it as "partial 16S ribosomal RNA". It matches the Rfam family "Bacterial small subunit ribosomal RNA", at positions 524 to 776 of the family's 1533-position model. The record is from RNAcentral.